This 253-nucleotide ribosomal RNA is filed under the name uncultured bacterium. RNAcentral's name for it is "partial 16S ribosomal RNA". It matches the Rfam family "Bacterial small subunit ribosomal RNA", at positions 524 to 776 of the family's 1533-position model. The record is from RNAcentral.
UACGAAGGGUGCAAGCGUUAAUCGGAAUUACUGGGCGUAAAGCGUGCGCAGGCGGUUCGCUAAGACAGAUGUGAAAUCCCCGGGCUUAACCUGGGAACUGCAUUUGUGACUGGCGGGCUAGAGUAUUGCAGAGGGUAGUAGAAUUUCCAGUGUAGCGGUGAAAUGCGUAGAUAUCAGGAGGAACACCGGUGGUGUAAACGGCUUUCUGGACCAUAACUGACACUGAGGCACGAAAGCGUGGGUAGCAAACAGG